Molecule: unclassified non-coding RNA, 235 nt
Filed under: Capnodiales sp.
Lineage: Eukaryota; Fungi; Ascomycota; Dothideomycetes; Capnodiales
Description: partial contains 5.8S ribosomal RNA, internal transcribed spacer 2, and large subunit ribosomal RNA
Source: RNAcentral
CGCACAUUGCGCCCUUUGGUAUUCCGAAGGGCAUGCCCGUUCGAGCGUCAUUAAACCCACUCAAGCCUGGCUUGGUAUUGGGCGGCGAGGUGUCCUCGCGCCCCAAUGUCACCGGCGAGACUUCCGAUCGCGAGCGUUAUGGUAUUUACUUCGCAAAGCGAUCCGGCAAAGUCUCCGCCGUUAAACUUCAAUCAAGGUUGACCUCGGAUCGGGUAGGGAUACCCGCUGAACUUAA